CCUAUCUGGUUGAUCCUGCCAGUAGUCAUAUGCUUGUCUCAAAGAUUAAGCCAUGCAUGUCUAAGUGCCAAGCUGUGUUUACACGGCGAAGACCGCGGACGGCUCAUUAAAUCAGUCGUGGUCCAAAUGGGCCAGUAUCCUUUACUUGGAUAACUGUGGUAAUUCCAGAGCUAAUACAUGCAACCAAUACUCUGAAGGCAGGGAGAGCUUGUCGUCUUUCCUCUUGACGAGUGCUUUUAUUAGACCAAACUGCUGGGAGGAUUAGCGCGAGCGCGUCUCUCACGAGCCGCUCCGCUGCCUCGACUCGCUAUGUGGUGACUCUGGAUAACCAAUGUUGACAAGCGCACGUACCUUCUCUCUGAGUUGGACGGCGCUGCCACUUUCGAGUGUCUGCCUUAUCAGCUUUCAAUCGCUCGCUACACGCGACCGAUGGCUUUGACGGGUAACGGGGAAUGCAGGGUUCGAUUCCGGAGAGGCAGCCUGAGAAACGGCUACCACGUCCAAGGACGGCAGCAGGCACGCAAAUUACCCAAUCCCAGCACCUGGGGGAGGUAGUGACGAAACCUAACGAUGCGGGCGCCCUUACUGGGCCCCGCAAUCGGAAUGAGCACUUUCUAAACAACCUGUUGAGAACCUACUGAAGGGCAAGUCUGGUGCCAGCAGCCGCGGUAAUUCCAGCUUCAGUAGCAUCUAUUAAAGUUGCUGCGGUUAAAAGGCUCGCAGUUGAAUGUCAGUGCCGGGCGUUAGUAGGUGGACGCUGGGGUGUGGGACUCCGGCUGUGCUCUCUCGCGGGAGUGCAGUCUCCCAUAUGCUCCCGUCCGUGACAAGCCUCUGCGCCUGCGUACACAGUGGUGUCAACCUCUGCUAGUCUUGUGCUCUCUCUCUCACUCCGCUCUGCGCUGUGAGGUGUGGGUGCGGGCUUGCAGUCUGGCACCAAUGUCACCCUGAGUAAAUCAGAGUGCUCAAAGCAGUCGUAACGGGCGCAAGCCCUGUGAACACACAGUCCUCGUGACAGGGACAGUCUUGGUUUUGCAUGGCAUGUCGGAAUACGACGACGGGUGCUGGCUAAGAGUUUAAUUACACAGUGGUAUAAGCCAGCCUCGUCGUACUGAUUAAAAGGGCUUGUCGAGGGCAUUAGUAUUGCGGAGCGAGAGGUGAAAUUCUAUGACCUCCGCAAGACUUCCUGAAGCGAAAGCGUCUGCCAAGGAUGUUUUCAUUAAUCAUGAACGAAAGUUAGAGGAUCGAAGGCGAUCAGAUACCGCCCUAGUUCUAACCCUAAACGAUGCCAACCAUCAAUCCGCGCGUAGCACCCUUUUGUACGGGCUCGGCGGGCAGCUCCUUUUCACGGGAAACCAGAGUCUCUGGGUUCCGGGGGGAGUCUGGUUGCAAAGCUGAAACUUAAAGGAAUUGACGGAAAGGCACCACCAGGCGUGGAGCUUGCGGCUUAAUUUGACUCAACACGGGUAAUCUCACCAGGCCAGCACUCUAGCAUGAUUGACAGAUUGAGAGCUCUUUCUCGAUUCAGUGGAUGGUGGUGCAUGGCCGUUCUUAGUUGGUGGAGUGAUCUGUCUGGUUAAUUCCGAUAACGAACGAGACUCUCCCCUGCUAACUAGUCGGUUGGAUCUUGAUAUGCGAGUUGCGCCCUGCCACGGUAGACGGCGGAGUAGUGCUUGGGUAUGUCUGUCUCUCUCGCUAUCGCUGCAGUACUGUUGUGGGCCUCGGGGUACUCUGCGCGGAAACGUGUGGAUGCUCUCUUGCGCUCCCUCUUGCUGUGUGCGUGUGUGUGGGGAGGUCGGUCCCUUGCGCCUCUGGCCUUGCCGAGGACCAGGUAGUGCACUCCAAGUCCGCCGCUGUGUCUUAGAAUUCUUCUUAGAGGGAUCAACGGCUCUGAAGCCGUCAGAGACUGAGAGCAAUAACAGGUCUGUGAUGCCCUUAGAUGCUCUGGGCCGCACGCGUGCUACAAUGCCGGGCACAGCAGGUGUUAUCUCCUGUUCCGAGAGGAACGGGCAACCCUCUGAAAGCCCUUCAGCAUUUCUCUCGUCUUGGCCACUCGCGUGGUUCGAGGCGAGAGCGGCGUGCUUGGGCCUGGGGCUUGCAAUUAUUCCCCACAAACGAGGAAUGCCUAGUAGCGGUAGGUCACUGAGCCUGCCGUGACCGAGUCCCUGCCCUUUGUACACACCGCCCGUCGCUACUACCGAUUGGGUGUACCAGUGAGAGCCUUUGGACUGGCGGCCGUUGCUCUACUCUUCGGAGUGAGCAAGCGGAUUCGACUGAAAGAGGUCCGAACUGGUGCACUUAGAGGAAGUAAAAGUCGUAACAAGGUUUCCGUAGGUGAACCUGCGGAAGGAUCAUUA
RNAcentral lists this ribosomal RNA (2354 nucleotides) under Podocerus variegatus. Its description in RNAcentral is "18S ribosomal RNA". It matches the Rfam family "Eukaryotic small subunit ribosomal RNA". Lineage: Eukaryota; Metazoa; Arthropoda; Malacostraca; Amphipoda; Podoceridae. The record is from RNAcentral.